RNAcentral lists this ribosomal RNA (1470 nucleotides) under metagenome. RNAcentral describes it as "bacterial SSU rRNA". It matches the Rfam family "Bacterial small subunit ribosomal RNA". The record is from RNAcentral.
AGAGUUUGAUCCUGGCUCAGGACGAACGCUGGCGGCACGCUUAACACAUGCAAGUCGAACGAGAGAAGAGGAGCUUGCUUUUCUGAUCUAGUGGUGGACGGGUGAGUAACACGUGAGCAAUCUGCCUUUCAGAGGGGGAUACCGAUUGGAAACGAUCGUUAAUACCGCAUAACAUAAUUGAACCGCAUGAUUUGAUUAUCAAAGACUUAUCGCUGAAAGAUGAGCUCGCGUCUGAUUAGCUAGUUGGUAAGGUAACGGCUUACCAAGGCGACGAUCAGUAGCCGGACUGAGAGGUUGAUCGGCCACAUUGGGACUGAGACACGGCCCAGACUCCUACGGGAGGCAGCAGUGGGGAAUAUUGCACAAUGGAGGAAACUCUGAUGCAGCGAUGCCGCGUGAGGGAAGAAGGUUUUAGGAUUGUAAACCUCUGUCUUCAGGGACGAAAAAAGACGGUACCUGAGGAGGAAGCUCCGGCUAACUACGUGCCAGCAGCCGCGGUAAUACGUAGGGAGCGAGCGUUGUCCGGAAUUACUGGGUGUAAAGGGAGCGUAGGCGGGAUCGCAAGUCAGAUGUGAAAACUAUGGGCUUAACCCAUAAACUGCAUUUGAAACUGUGGUUCUUGAGUGAAGUAGAGGUAAGCGGAAUUCCUAGUGUAGCGGUGAAAUGCGUAGAUAUUAGGAGGAACAUCAGUGGCGAAGGCGGCUUACUGGGCUUUAACUGACGCUGAGGCUCGAAAGCGUGGGGAGCAAACAGGAUUAGAUACCCUGGUAGUCCACGCCGUAAACGAUGAUUACUAGGUGUGGGGGGACUGACCCCUUCCGUGCCGCAGCAAACGCAAUAAGUAAUCCACCUGGGGAGUACGACCGCAAGGUUGAAACUCAAAGGAAUUGACGGGGGCCCGCACAAGCAGUGGAGUAUGUGGAUUAAUUCGAAGCAACGCGAAGAACCUUACCAGGUCUUGACAUCGUAUGCAUAGCUCAGAGAUGAGUGAAAUCUCUUCGGAGACGUAUAGACAGGUGGUGCAUGGUUGUCGUCAGCUCGUGUCGUGAGAUGUUGGGUUAAGUCCCGCAACGAGCGCAACCCUUACUGUUAGUUGCUACGCAAGAGCACUCUAGCAGGACUGCCGUUGACAAAACGGAGGAAGGUGGGGAUGACGUCAAAUCAUCAUGCCCCUUAUGACCUGGGCCUCACACGUACUACAAUGGCUGUCAACAGAGGGAAGCAAAGCCGCGAGGUGGAGCGAACCCCUAAAAGCAGUCUUAGUUCGGAUUGUAGGCUGCAACCCGCCUACAUGAAGUCGGAAUUGCUAGUAAUCGCAGAUCAGCAUGCUGCGGUGAAUACGUUCCCGGGCCUUGUACACACCGCCCGUCACGCCAUGGGAGUCGGUAACACCCGAAGCCUGUAGUCUAACCGCAAGGAGGACGCAGUCGAAGGUGGGAUUGAUGACUGGGGUGAAGUCGUAACAAGGUA